UGGGGAAUAUUGCACAAUGGGCGCAAGCCUGAUGCAGCCAUGCCGCGUGUGUGAAGAAGGCCUUCGGGUUGUAAAGCACUUUCAGCGAGGAGGAAGGUGGUGAGCUUAAUACGCUCAUCAAUUGACGUUACUCGCAGAAGAAGCACCGGCUAACUCCGUGCCAGCAGCCGCGGUAAUACGGAGGGUGCAAGCGUUAAUCGGAAUUACUGGGCGUAAAGCGCACGCAGGCGGUUUGUUAAGUCAGAUGUGAAAUCCCCGGGCUCAACCUGGGAACUGCAUUUGAAACUGGCAAGCUAGAGUCUCGUAGAGGGGGGUAGAAUUCCAGGUGUAGCGGUGAAAUGCGUAGAGAUCUGGAGGAAUACCGGUGGCGAAGGCGGCCCCCCUGGACGAAGACUGACGCUCAGGUGCGAAAGCGUGGGGCAGCAAACAGGAUUAGAUACCCUGGUAGUCCACGCUGUAAACGAUGUCGAUUUGGAGGUUGUGCCCUUGAGGCGUGGNUUCCGGAGCUAACG
RNAcentral lists this ribosomal RNA (512 nucleotides) under uncultured bacterium. RNAcentral's name for it is "partial 16S ribosomal RNA". It matches the Rfam family "Bacterial small subunit ribosomal RNA", at positions 355 to 857 of the family's 1533-position model. The record is from RNAcentral.